AGAGUUUGAUCCUGGCUCAGAUUGAACGCUGGCGGCAGGCCUAACACAUGCAAGUCGAGCGGAUGACGGGAGCUUGCUCCUUGAUUCAGCGGCGGACGGGUGAGUAAUGCCUAGGAAUCUGCCUGGUAGUGGGGGACAACGUUCCGAAAGGAGCGCUAAUACCGCAUACGUCCUACGGGAGAAAGUGGGGGAUCUUCGGACCUCACGCUAUCAGAUGAGCCUAGGUCGGAUUAGCUAGUUGGUGAGGUAAAGGCUCACCUAGGCGACGAUCCGUAACUGGUCUGAGAGGAUGAUCAGUCACACUGGAACUGAGACACGGUCCAGACUCCUACGGGAGGCAGCAGUGGGGAAUAUUGCACAAUGGGCGCAAGCCUGAUGCAGCCAUGCCGCGUGUAUGAAGAAGGCCUUCGGGUUGUAAAGUACUUUCAGCGAGGAGGAAGGUGUUGCGGUUAAUAACCGCAGCAAUUGACGUUACUCGCAGAAGAAGCACCGGCUAACUCCGUGCCAGCAGCCGCGGUAAUACGGAGGGUGCAAGCGUUAAUCGGAAUUACUGGGCGUAAAGCGCACGCAGGCGGUCUGUCAAGUCGGAUGUGAAAUCCCCGGGCUCAACCUGGGAACUGCAUCCGAAACUGGCAGGCUAGAGUCUUGUAGAGGGGGGUAGAAUUCCAGGUGUAGCGGUGAAAUGCGUUNAGAUCUGGAAGAAUACCGG
This 709-nucleotide ribosomal RNA is filed under the name uncultured soil bacterium. RNAcentral's name for it is "bacterial SSU rRNA". It matches the Rfam family "Bacterial small subunit ribosomal RNA", at positions 8 to 712 of the family's 1533-position model. The record is from RNAcentral.